This is a long non-coding RNA of Lolium perenne, 1655 nucleotides long. RefSeq lists it as uncharacterized. The record is from RefSeq and is a predicted model, not a curated record. NCBI's taxonomy places the organism in Eukaryota, Viridiplantae, Streptophyta, Magnoliopsida, Poales, Poaceae.
CCGCAGGUGGCCUCUUUGGAUCCGGGCGGAAAGCGGCACCAUCAGAUCAAGAGAAAGGAGGCAAACCCGCAGAAGAAGAGAGGGUUGGGGAGCACAUACCCGUGAGGAAGAUGAGAUCCUACCUCCUCAGCCUCAGCAUCGUCAAGAAAUCGAUGAGCGGGACUAACUCAGAUAAGCUAGGAUCUGGAUCCUCUCUUCGAUCUACAGCAACAUCGCCGGAGCAGCAGCAAAGCGACCUCACUAAACAAUAUAGCAGCUUAUGUGUGUGUGGUAUUCUCUGCCCAGUGCCCACUUCUAAUCCUAUUCUCUUACUUGCUCAAAGCUUUUCUUAUUCUUUGGAGGGUCACCUCCGACGAUUUGCUUCUGCCUUCUUUGCUUUCUUCAGAUGCGCGAGGUGAGGCUCGGUACAAAUAGGUGAGGGCCGAGGAGGUCAGGGCCAUUCUUCCUGAUGACCAAAGGAUCUUCCCCUGUAUCCUAUGGCAAGCCCUUGACUUGCUGCUCCCGGGCAAAAUUCGAGCACGGUGCAGGGCACUAGCUAGGCUAGAAGAGAGGCACCACCAUCUGCAACAAUGACAUCCAGAGGGCUAGGGCAAUGGUAGGCAAGGAUGAGCCACAGACCAACGGAAACGUGACGAGGGUGGAGAAGAUGGCGACCAACAGCUCAGGUCCCGUCCUUCUCUUCAUCGAAGUUCCCAUCCCAUCAGCAGAACGAAAGUUUGAGGUUAUGGACGACGAGGUUAGCUGCACAAGCAUGAGCGAAUAGGCACAAAGCAGCACUUCCAAGCUAUUAGACGUGAUGGCUGAGAGAAGAGGCUUAAUCAUUAUCCUAAUUAGGAAUAGGAAAGCUGGAUAUAAUCAAUCCGUAUUUAUGGCUUAGCUGACCCAAUUUGACAUAAACUUGCCAAUAUUUCCCCUCAAAGGAGGAGGAAGAGGAUGGAAGUGGCACUAUGCGUGCCUACAGAGGUGGUGGCUGGGAAGAGUGCCGCUGAUGAUUGCGCGAGGAGGGGCGACAAGAUGGAGGUGGCCCUUCCCAUGGUGGCACAUCCAGAUGUGACGCCCCGUCGUCAUAUCCGUUUUAUGUUCUGUCCGAUGAGGAUGCUCGCAGGCAACAGAUCUGUUCAGCCAAGAGUCAGGUGCAUCUCUGUCACGGUCUUCACUUCAGUACAACAGAUAUCUGGCCUUGCUGAUGGUUAUUUUAUUUAGAGGUACAGUCUUUCAGUCAUGUUGAACCGAACAAUGGAAAUAAGAAAGUGUUUGGCCAAUUCAUGUUCUGGGCGACAACAUGAUUGCUUUCACAAGCAAAUAUGCAAUUCUGCUUGUGGUAACCACUAAAGGGUGAGCCGACUUCCUCCCUUCUGCAAUUACCAAUACAAUAGGCAAAAGAUGUGUUGUCGUCGCCGAAGUCACAGGAAACUCUCGAUGCCGAAAAUGUAAUUCCCUUUAACAUCUCAAAAACUGAAUGAUCAACACCACAGGGCCAACAGAGCCAUCCUCCAGUCAAUUUUUUACCCUCCCAUGUAAAAACCUAUCAGUGUAACCCAUGUACCUCCUCUCAUGUAUUACCCUUUAUUGUACUUGCUCCUACGUGUAACUUUGCCUCGCACAAGUAAACAAAUCAAUUCCUCUAUGAUAUAAAUAAACUGUCGCAAGCAGCA